RNAcentral lists this ribosomal RNA (1495 nucleotides) under uncultured organism. Its description in RNAcentral is "SSU rRNA". It matches the Rfam family "Bacterial small subunit ribosomal RNA". The record is from RNAcentral.
CAUGGCUCAGGAUGAACGCUGGCGGCGUGCCUAAUACAUGCAAGUCGAACGAGUUCUGAUUAUUGAAAGGUGCUUGCAUCUCGAUUUAAUUUUGAACGAGUGGCGGACGGGUGAGUAACACGUGGGUAACCUGCCCUUAAGUGGGGGAUAACAUUUGGAAACAGAUGCUAAUACCGCAUAAAUCCAAGAACCGCAUGGUUCUUGGCUGAAAGAUGGCGUAAGCUAUCGCUUUUGGAUGGACCCGCGGCGUAUUAGCUAGUUGGUGAGGUAACGGCUCACCAAGGCAAUGAUACGUAGCCGAACUGAGAGGUUGAUCGGCCACAUUGGGACUGAGACACGGCCCAAACUCCUACGGGAGGCAGCAGUAGGGAAUCUUCCACAAUGGACGCAAGUCUGAUGGAGCAACGCCGCGUGAGUGAAGAAGGCUUUCGGGUCGUAAAACUCUGUUGUUGGAGAAGAAUGGUCGGCAGAGUAACUGUUGUCGGCGUGACGGUAUCCAACCAGAAAGCCACGGCUAACUACGUGCCAGCAGCCGCGGUAAUACGUAGGUGGCAAGCGUUAUCCGGAUUUAUUGGGCGUAAAGCGAGCGCAGGCGGUUUUUUAAGUCUGAUGUGAAAGCCCUCGGCUUAACCGAGGAAGUGCAUCGGAAACUGGGAAACUUGAGUGCAGAAGAGGACAGUGGAACUCCAUGUGUAGCGGUGAAAUGCGUAGAUAUAUGGAAGAACACCAGUGGCGAAGGCGGCUGUCUGGUCUGUAACUGACGCUGAGGCUCGAAAGCAUGGGUAGCGAACAGGAUUAGAUACCCUGGUAGUCCAUGCCGUAAACGAUGAAUGCUAGGUGUUGGAGGGUUUCCGCCCUUCAGUGCCGCAGCUAACGCAUUAAGCAUUCCGCCUGGGGAGUACGACCGCAAGGUUGAAACUCAAAGGAAUUGACGGGGGCCCGCACAAGCGGUGGAGCAUGUGGUUUAAUUCGAAGCAACGCGAAGAACCUUACCAGGUCUUGACAUCUUUUGAUCACCUGAGAGAUCAGGUUUCCCCUUCGGGGGCAAAAUGACAGGUGGUGCAUGGUUGUCGUCAGCUCGUGUCGUGAGAUGUUGGGUUAAGUCCCGCAACGAGCGCAACCCUUAUGACUAGUUGCCAGCAUUUAGUUGGGCACUCUAGUAAGACUGCCGGUGACAAACCGGAGGAAGGUGGGGAUGACGUCAAAUCAUCAUGCCCCUUAUGACCUGGGCUACACACGUGCUACAAUGGAUGGUACAACGAGUUGCGAGACCGCGAGGUCAAGCUAAUCUCUUAAAGCCAUUCUCAGUUCGGACUGUAGGCUGCAACUCGCCUACACGAAGUCGGAAUCGCUAGUAAUCGCGGAUCAGCACGCCGCGGUGAAUACGUUCCCGGGCCUUGUACACACCGCCCGUCACACCAUGAGAGUUUGUAACACCCGAAGCCGGUGGCGUAACCCUUUUAGGGAGCGAGCCGUCUAAGGUGGGACAAAUGAU